GGAGGUGGGGUCAAUCUGACUGAGACAUUUGUUACCCCACUGAUUACCAGGAUCCAUCUGCAGGUGUCCCCUUCCUUCCUCACCAUCCUGCGUGCUCUACCAAGAGGUUGGCCUUUCUUGACAGAAGAGGACUAGGCUUAGUCACGGGCAGUUGAGAAGCUGCACUUCCCUUGUUGGAACUUCCAAACUAGCCUCCAAAGUCCAUUUGUAGGAGGACAGAGUCAAGUCAGGCUUGCAAGACUCCAGACACACUAGAUGAGGAGCUGCAUGUAAC
Molecule: small nuclear RNA, 274 nt
Filed under: Microtus ochrogaster (prairie vole)
Lineage: Eukaryota; Metazoa; Chordata; Mammalia; Rodentia; Cricetidae
Description: 7SK RNA (ENSMOCG00000006019.1)
Rfam family: 7SK RNA
About the family: 7SK was discovered as an abundant small nuclear RNA in the mid-70s but a possible function has only recently been suggested. Two independent studies have found that 7SK RNA binds the CDK9/cyclin T complex (known as elongation factor P-TEFb).
Source: Rfam by way of RNAcentral